Molecule: ribosomal RNA, 253 nt
Filed under: uncultured bacterium
Lineage: Bacteria
Description: partial 16S ribosomal RNA
Rfam family: Bacterial small subunit ribosomal RNA
Source: RNAcentral
UACGUAGGGUGCGAGCGUUGUUCGGAUUCACUGGGCGUAAAGGGUGCGUAGGCGGUCGGGUAAGUCUGAUGUGAAAUCUCACAGCUUAACUGUGAAACUGCAUUGGAUACUAUCCGGCUAGAGGAAUGGAGGGGAGACUGGAAUACUUGGUGUAGCAGUGAAAUGCGUAGAUAUCAAGUGGAACACCAGUGGCGAAGGCGAGUCUCUGGACAUUUCCUGACGCUGAGGCACGAAAGCCAGGGGAGCAAACGGG